Molecule: long non-coding RNA, 364 nt
Filed under: Camarhynchus parvulus
Lineage: Eukaryota; Metazoa; Chordata; Aves; Passeriformes; Thraupidae
Description: lncRNA (ENSCPVG00000001776.2)
Source: RNAcentral
GCUACAUGUUUCUUUUAAAGGGCUGAUUGUUUCAGGGAAGAUACUUGAUCUAGAGAUUUGCUGAGAUUGACCCUGAGUGCAUGUGUGUUCCAGUAUCUUAUUUGUCUUCUACAUUUCAGUAAAGCCUGGAGGUCCUUGGCAGCUGAGCUAAGGGCUGUACACACAUAACAAGGCAAGUGGUCUUCUCUGCAGUUCAAGAAGAGAGAAACAAGAGCUGGAAACCAAGAACAGUUGUAUAAAGCACAGCAUGUGCUUGCUGAAGGAGGAUGUACUUCUGUUCCACAGCCCAUCCUUUAGUAGAAGGACUGCAAGCCUACUGGUGCUGACAGCAGAUGGCUCAGAAUAUUCUCACAGGAAAGUGUGA